GGAUAUAUGAAAAUGAUCUUUCUCUUUCUUACUCUUUCUCUUUAUAUAUUCAAUACUUGUAAAUAUUGUGACCAUUAUAAAUAUAAAAUGUCUUUUAUAGUCGUUACUUAUUUGUGACAUGUUUUUAACGGAUUGCUCUGAACGGGAGACUAGUCUACAAGUAGCAUGUGCUCUUUGUUUAUCAACAAUGCUUAAUUUAUUCCACUAUUGAUCGAUAACUUAAUAUUCAUGUAUUAUUCAUUAGUUUAAGGCGCGAUCCAAGGUGCGCAGCCAAUUAAAUGAUUGUAUAUGCGCGUACGGCUUUCUUUUCCAUGCGCGACCCAACCAGUAUAAAUAGUCCGCGCGUGGGUUACUGGGUUACCCAGGUACGUGACUGACAGCUUUUUACAGGCUAGUACGCGACUACAGUUUUAUUUGCAGGGUAUUACGCGAAAGACUAUGAAUAUUUGGAAAGGAAGGCUUCGGUCCUUCGUGACCUAAUAAGGCCAGAAAGUCACCAGUGCCUCCGUAGUUUAAUUCAUAUAUUUAAUAUUGUAUAACGCUUAAACUUAUAACACAUGUAUUCGCCUAUCUAGAGGGCGUGAUACUCCGUAGAUCGUAUAAUGAUGUUUUAAUGAACUUGAUAUUGUAUAUAGAUAUUGUAUAGAAAGUGUAUAAAGGAUCGAGAGAGUUGGAGAAACAACUUUGUCGUAUAUCUAUAGUUUAUUAUCUACAUUUAUUUAAUGCAUAUAUAACAGUUUAUUACAGACAUGAGUGUAACUCCCCCCCCCCCCCCCCCUUUCUCCUUCUUCGUCCUGUCUUGGAAGGGACAGUGUGUCCUUCAACCUGGAAUGGACACAGAACGUUAUAUGUAUAGACAAUGCAUGGGCUUGUCUUGGAGGACACAGUGUCCUUAGAUUUGGACAUGGACACAGUGUCUCUUUUCUUCCCCCCCCCCUUCUUACUCAUUUGAAUUGCACUCAUUAUUGUAUAUAGCAUGACAUGUAUAUUAAUAGAAUGACAUUGAAUAGUGGACAGUUGAAUAUGUACACUCGUAGUUAAUUAAUUAAAUAGCUGCAUUUACGAGCCUAUCUAAAUCAGGCAAUUAUUACUUUACUACAUAAUUAAGAGGUGCGAACUUAAGACAGUAAGGGACGAAUUCAAUGGAAUGCCGGUUAUCUUUGAAUUUAGAAAGUCAAAUCUUAUACAAGUAUAUUCUGGAGUAAGUUAUAACUAGGAGAUAAAUACUCGAGGCUAGUUUAUAACAGUGAUGAUGGAUUUAUAUAGGUACAAUGUUUAACCGACAGAGUGUGUUAGCUUGUUACUUAAUAAAGGAGUGGAUAGACUUUUGAAAUCCUGGUCGGAAGGGUGUAUUGGUUUAAAUGUUUCAUUCUUGUAGAAUGGGGACGAUAGGGACACAUUGGCCAAAGGUGUCGGGCGCAGGUAGAUAGUUGUUUCAAGGGGUAGGAGUACCGAGAAUACUAGUAGUCGGUCAGAAUAGAGUUACUUGUAAUAGGAGUUAGAAAGAAAUGCUAACUUUGGUUUGAUAGCCAUGGUGGUUUGUAAAGUUCGUUAGAAAAGCCUCUAUCUAAGUUCAGUAAGUUUAUACAUGUACAUUAUUUAAAUCGUAUGCAGUCUAUACUAGUCAAUUAAGUGUUGACAUCCUGUAAAUAUGAAGCUAAGAAAUACUGUAUAAAUUAUAUAAGCAGUAAACAUUUAUUACAAUAAUUAAUUAAUGUAUAUCUAGUAGCAAUCAGUAAGUUAGUAAGUUCAUGGAA
This 1757-nucleotide long non-coding RNA is filed under the name Strongylocentrotus purpuratus (purple sea urchin). RNAcentral describes it as "uncharacterized LOC115927439". The record is from RNAcentral. Lineage: Eukaryota; Metazoa; Echinodermata; Echinoidea; Camarodonta; Strongylocentrotidae.